CGCUGAGGGACCGCGGGGAGCAGGAUGGAGGGACGGGAACACGCGGGGACGCGGGGCUGGGACGGGAGAGACCAGGGCAGGGAAGGCGUUGCAAUGUCCCCAUCCUCCUCCCGUUCCGCUUAAUGGCGUGCUCCCCAGCCCUGCUCCUUCACCAGCUCUGGGAAAAGAGUUUUUAACCCCAUCAUGAUAAUAAUGAUACACAAUGCCUGAUCAGGACAAAAAGUUGAAGAGCACAGCAAAAGCAAUAAAAACAAAAGCCUUCUGGGAUCUCUAUGAGGUGUAGUAUCUGACGUUUUACUUUGAACUUCAGUGGGACUCGUGUGGAAUUUACACUGGCUGCCAAAGCAGAAUGCUUCAAUUUGAAGUGCAGUAUAAACAUGACAACUGUUACUCUGGUCACAAAGUUUAUUUACACCUAUGUUGACUUAAGGCAUUCUGGAGAAGCUGUGAAUUCUGCUGUACGCAAAAGUGGACACCAGGCAACGCUAGAAAACUUUAUUUUCUGGAUUAUUCUGAUCUAA
RNAcentral lists this long non-coding RNA (521 nucleotides) under Zonotrichia albicollis (white-throated sparrow). RNAcentral describes it as "lncRNA (ENSZALG00000000017.1)". The record is from RNAcentral. Lineage: Eukaryota; Metazoa; Chordata; Aves; Passeriformes; Passerellidae.